RNAcentral lists this transfer RNA (85 nucleotides) under Bacillota bacterium. RNAcentral's name for it is "tRNA-Tyr". It matches the Rfam family "tRNA". From Rfam's summary of the family: Transfer RNA (tRNA) molecules are approximately 80 nucleotides in length. Their secondary structure includes four short double-helical elements and three loops (D, anti-codon, and T loops). Further hydrogen bonds mediate the characteristic L-shaped molecular structure. tRNAs have two regions of fundamental functional importance: the anti-codon, which is responsible for specific mRNA codon recognition, and the 3' end, to which the tRNAs corresponding amino acid is attached (by aminoacyl-tRNA synthetases). tRNAs cope with the degeneracy of the genetic code in two manners: having more than one tRNA (with a specific anti-codon) for a particular amino acid; and 'wobble' base-pairing, i.e. permitting non-standard base-pairing at the 3rd anti-codon position. Lineage: Bacteria; Bacillati; Bacillota. RNAcentral also lists the same sequence under 2 other names. The record is from RNAcentral.
GGGCAAGUUCCAGAGUGGCCAAAUGGAGCAGACUGUAAAUCUGUUGUCUCUGACUUCGGUGGUUCGAAUCCAUCCUUGCCCACCA